This 504-nucleotide unclassified non-coding RNA is filed under the name Hevea brasiliensis (rubber tree). Lineage: Eukaryota; Viridiplantae; Streptophyta; Magnoliopsida; Malpighiales; Euphorbiaceae. The record is from RNAcentral.
CUGCACUAACAUACAGGGAGUUUCAAACAACAAUGCGACUCCUAAGCCUUGUGAUUUAUUGCCCAACAAAGACACUCGUUGAUCUUUCCCAGAGGAUAAACAGCCAAUACAAACUGUUCAUACUGAUAAAAGGUUGUUAUCAACCAUGUUUAGUCCUCUUAAGGGCAAUCAAUAAAGAGAAAGAAGAAAAUGUACACUUUUCUGCUGUUGUUUUGCUUAUUUUGUUUCAUUCAUCAACUAUGAUUAGAACAGCUGCAAAAUUUUCGUUGAAACUCUUAUGGUAAAAGUAAAUACAUAUGAUCAACAAUUUUAUAAAUUGAAUGUUCAACAACAGGAAGUAUAAAUCUUGAAACUGUAGACUGAAGCUUCAUAUCAGUGAAUGUCUUCAAAUCAUUUUCUGGUAGACAUUACAGCUGCUUUCCCUUCGUAUGUAUUAAAGUCACCCUUGCCUGAUUUUGCAAUAAUCCGACUCUCUUGUGAGCAACUUCGAUGAGAUGAGGAUCC